CUCUGCGGAAGUUGGCGCUUU
Molecule: microRNA, 21 nt
Filed under: Bos taurus (domestic cattle)
Lineage: Eukaryota; Metazoa; Chordata; Mammalia; Artiodactyla; Bovidae
Description: bta-miR-2342
Source: miRBase by way of RNAcentral